GAAGAAACCAUUGGUUUUAGUGUCAAGAAUGCAGUUCUCUUCCCCAGCGAAGCUGAGAAAGGAACAUGGCCCGAAGAUUAUUCACUUUCUGAUCACGCCAAACUUACAGUGGUGUUUUCACCUGUAAGAAUGCUAUGCUGUCAAUUGUCCCGUUAGUUUUCUUGAAUGUUGAUUGCCUUGGAACUGAAUUUUUAAGUAAAAGAGACUUUGAGGGUUGUAGCCAGACUACAAGAUUCUCAAACUGCUGCCUGAGUUGUCGAACGGGGAGACUUAUGCUUGCUUCCAACUGAACUCUGCUGAAGAUAAUAAUACCACCUUGAGGUUUGUAAGUAAAGAUAGUACAAGAGGGUGCCUAGUCUUUCAGAAGAGAUAUGGCUGAUGCCUGUAUCUUGGUGUUCAUUCAAAGUGUCUGUUCAUGUCGAUCAAAGACUUACUCUAGCGUUCAAGUAUAAUGCCAU
This 458-nucleotide unclassified non-coding RNA is filed under the name Hevea brasiliensis (rubber tree). The record is from RNAcentral. Lineage: Eukaryota; Viridiplantae; Streptophyta; Magnoliopsida; Malpighiales; Euphorbiaceae.